CUCAAAAACUAGUCUCAGUUCGGAUUGUAGGCUGAAACUCGCCUACAUGAAGCUGGAGUUGCUAGUAAUCGCGAAUCAGCAUGUCGCGGUGAAUACGUUCCCGGGCCUUGUACACACCGCCCGUCACACCAUGAGAGUUGGCAAUACCCAACGUACGUGAUCUAACCCGCAAGGGAGGAAGCGUCCUAAGGUAGGGUCAGCGAUUGGGGUGAAGUCGUAACAAGGUAGC
RNAcentral lists this ribosomal RNA (229 nucleotides) under uncultured bacterium. Its description in RNAcentral is "partial 16S ribosomal RNA". It matches the Rfam family "Bacterial small subunit ribosomal RNA", at positions 1274 to 1500 of the family's 1533-position model. The record is from RNAcentral.